Molecule: long non-coding RNA, 1342 nt
Organism: Stegastes partitus (bicolor damselfish)
Lineage: Eukaryota; Metazoa; Chordata; Actinopteri; Pomacentridae
Exons: 2
Source: RefSeq, a predicted model, not a curated record
AUGAUUUUGACAAUUUUGCUUUCCUGCAUGUGAACAGUCCCAGGUGAUAUUUUAAACUGCCAGCUGCUGUUAGCACCCUCUAUUCAAGGAUGAUGUAACUAAAGUGUGCUUUAUUUAAUGCAGAUCACUGAUGUCAACUUUUAAAAAAAAAAAAAAAAAAGCUUUUAAGAGCUCAGGCCUUGUAGAUUUAUCUGUUUGCCUUUUAUGGUCAAACUAUUCGCCCCUGAGCACACAUGCUUUGAGCACACGAGUUUUCUCUGCUACACCGAAUGCAUCAAAACUAACCACGAUCCUGCGAUAAUUUAUUUACACUGCAACAAAUGCUUGACGCCAUUUGUCCCUUUUCAUUCCAGUCAUGCCCCCUCUCUGUCUGAGAGCCCAACACGGGCAGCAGCAAUGCAUUCUGGUCUCUUUGGAUUCGUAGAUUACAAUUAAGGCCGUGUAUUAUUCUGGCUUUUUGUUGGCUACGGGGGGUAAACACGGUUUGGAAAAAGGGGUGCAACGGCUUAAAUCACAUUAAGGGAUAAAAAGGAAGUAAAGCAAUAACGUGGAGGUCAGAGUAGAUGCUACAGUGAGGGGGACUCUCAAGUUUCUGCCAGGGAAUGUGUCUUUAAAAGCUCUAUUUUAUACAGAAACUCUAGCAGGAUUGUGAUUAAUUUAGAGUAAAAUGACUCAUGUUUGAUGUGCCUUCCCCUUUCUAGUCAGCUGGCGAUCUGAUUUUGUCGCGGUGUCAGUGAGGGGUGUGAGGAUUUGGUAUCUCAUGCAGUGCAGCAUGCAGAUUCCUUCAGCCUGCUGGGCAUCUGCCAGACUCGCACAGUUCAAACCUCGGUGCUAUUUGUUACACGCUCACUUCACAGACGGACUCUAACAUGGAAAGAAUGUCAUACCUCUGUCGUCGUGCCUCUUCCUUUUAUUGCGCGGACCGGUUGUGCUUUCAGACUUUUUUGGGGGUUUUACUUCAGAUUUGUCCUCCAAAGUUCUGCAGGCGAUGGAGUGUUAAAGUGAAUAAUAAAAUCAUAAAGUAACUGUAAUAUUUCACUCUAAUUCCUGUGCAAGUUUGUCUAGCUGCCAUUUCCACAAUGGAAAUGUUUGGCCUCGUGAGUCCAAAAUUGUUAACAUUUGCAGCAGCUUGUAAAACUGGUCGUUAAACUUCUCCCUCCUGUCCUCUGAAAUGGGCUUUGAAUCGCAGUGAUGCAACUUUCAAAUAAACAUCAAAUGUGGAAAAAAAUGUUCGUGUAGGUGCAACAUGAAAAGUCCAAUAUAUUUGUGUCAGAUCGUUGUGUUUCCAUUUGUCUGGUCAUAAUCAGACGUCCUCUUUAGCACACAUACUGAACUAUAUUAC